This 305-nucleotide long non-coding RNA is filed under the name Hordeum vulgare. RNAcentral's name for it is "long non-coding RNA (HVUL_LNC009525)". Lineage: Eukaryota; Viridiplantae; Streptophyta; Magnoliopsida; Poales; Poaceae. The record is from RNAcentral.
UUUAGGGUUUUGCCUCGUCUCACAACUUGCGCCGCCAUCGUAGUCUACCUCAUCCCGAGAGCCGGCGUCCAACGGCGAACGGGAGAGCAGGUCUCCGAAACCAGUCGCCUUUGCGAUCCUGUAUGGGAGAGGGCGAAUUAGGUUUUUGGGAAGCGCUUUGCCCGACUGCUCGCUGCUUCCACAACGGGUCGUCUACCUAGCAAGUCGGGCGGUGUUGCGUACCGCCGCCUCAAGCGUCGUCUACUUCGUCCCGUCAUCGCCAACGUCAUCGUCAAUAACGUAGCUGCACCGAACACAUCUGCUUC